GCUAUCGUAGCUUAAAUCAAAGCAUAACACUGAAGAUGUUAAGAUGAGCCCUAGAAAGCUCCGAAAGCA
RNAcentral lists this transfer RNA (69 nucleotides) under Ammocrypta beanii (naked sand darter). RNAcentral describes it as "tRNA-Phe". It matches the Rfam family "tRNA". From Rfam's summary of the family: Transfer RNA (tRNA) molecules are approximately 80 nucleotides in length. The record is from RNAcentral. Lineage: Eukaryota; Metazoa; Chordata; Actinopteri; Perciformes; Percidae.